RNAcentral lists this ribosomal RNA (409 nucleotides) under uncultured bacterium. RNAcentral describes it as "bacterial SSU rRNA". It matches the Rfam family "Bacterial small subunit ribosomal RNA", at positions 356 to 773 of the family's 1533-position model. The record is from RNAcentral.
GGGGAAUAUUGCACAAUGGGCGAAAGCCUGAUGCAGCGACGCCGCGUGGGGGAUGACGGCCUUCGGGUUGUAAACCUCUUUCAGUUGGGACGAAGCCCCUCGGGGUGACGGUACCCUCAGAAGAAGCACCGGCUAACUACGUGCCAGCAGCCGCGGUAAUACGUAGGGUGCAAGCGUUGUCCGGAAUUAUUGGGCGUAAAGAGCUCGUAGGUGGUUUGUCGCGUCUGCUGUGAAAUCCUUCCGCUCAACGGGAGGCUUGCAGUGGGUACGGGCAGACUAGAGUGCAGUAGAGGAGUCUGGAAUUCCUGGUGUAGCGGUGGAAUGCGCAGAUAUCAGGAGGAACACCGGUGGCGAAGGCGGGACUCUGGGCUGUUACUGACGCUGAGGAGCGAAAGCAUGGGGAGCGAAC